AUUCAUAACCACCAAGACUCGAUAAUAAUGACAAUAGGACCACAUGAAAACAUUCAAAACCAUGAUCGGUAAGUAUUAUUCAAAAUCCUCACUUGGGCAAUUCAUCAUACACAUGGAGAUCAUGAACUUGAACAUGGGAAUAUCUUAAACAUGGGAGCAUAGCAUGAUUACAUAACUAAAAUCAUGAAUUGAGGAAUUUACAUGAAAUUCAUUUGAAAUAGGACAUGGG
Molecule: long non-coding RNA, 229 nt
Filed under: Capsicum annuum
Lineage: Eukaryota; Viridiplantae; Streptophyta; Magnoliopsida; Solanales; Solanaceae
Description: long non-coding RNA (CANN_LNC001384)
Source: RNAcentral